GCCUUCGUGGUGCAACGGUAGCACACUCGGCGCGUAUUCAAGAGGUCCAAGUUCGAAUCCCAGCGAGGGCU
RNAcentral lists this transfer RNA (71 nucleotides) under Stegodyphus mimosarum. It matches the Rfam family "tRNA". From Rfam's summary of the family: Transfer RNA (tRNA) molecules are approximately 80 nucleotides in length. Their secondary structure includes four short double-helical elements and three loops (D, anti-codon, and T loops). The record is from Rfam by way of RNAcentral. Lineage: Eukaryota; Metazoa; Arthropoda; Arachnida; Araneae; Eresidae.